CUUUAACAAAAAUAUUAAAAUAUAAAAAAAUUUGAACAAACGGUUUUGUCAGAAAAAUUACACUGGUUAUAUAGCAAUUUGACAAACACCAAUUUUGAUCAUUGAGAUGCUUAAUAUUCCUUUUACAACACAAGGUCAUUAAAACGUUCUGCUGAUUUUACAGAGUUAUCUCCCUGUAGUGUUAGGUACCACCCUAAACAAACAAAGCAAGCAACACAACCAAAGUCCUUCUAUUCAAGCAUUAUGAAAUUAACUCUAAAAACAUGCAAUGUUAUGUGCUGUUAGUAAAUUGGUUUAUUUCUUAACCUCUGAUAGAAAGUUAUGAAUGGGUGCUUAUUGAAACUGUAUGGAAUAAUUUAUUUACUGGUAAAAAUAAUGUCUUUGAUAAAUAAUUGUAAAAGGAUGCGGGUUUUUUUAUGAAUUAUUGAAUGGAAUAUUUUACUUUUCUGGUGUAUUAUGUAUUUUAUUUAUACAUAUACAAUUGAUUAAAUGAUUUUUAAAAGGUGAUUAUGUUU
This 515-nucleotide long non-coding RNA is filed under the name Mytilus galloprovincialis (Mediterranean mussel). Lineage: Eukaryota; Metazoa; Mollusca; Bivalvia; Mytilida; Mytilidae. The record is from RNAcentral.